UACGAAGGGGGCUAGCGUUGCUCGGAAUCACUGGGCGUAACGCGCACGUAGGCGGCUUUUUAAGUCAGGGGUGAAAUCCUGGAGCUCAACUCCAGAACUGCCUUUGAUACUGAGAAGCUUGAGUCCGGGAGAGGUGAGUGGAACUGCGAGUGUAGAGGUGAAAUUCGUAGAUAUUCGCAAGAACACCAGUGGCGAAGGCGGCUCACUGGCCCGGUACUGACGCUGAGGUGCGAAAGCGUGGGGAGCAAACAGG
Molecule: ribosomal RNA, 253 nt
Filed under: uncultured bacterium
Lineage: Bacteria
Description: partial 16S ribosomal RNA
Rfam family: Bacterial small subunit ribosomal RNA
Source: RNAcentral